AUUCCAGCUCCAAUAGCGUAUAUUUAAGUUGCUGCAGUUAAAAAGCUCGUAGUUGGAUUUCGGGUGGGAAUGGCCGGUCCGCCGUUUCGGUGUGCACUUGCUACGCCCACCUUGCUGCCGGGGACGUGCUCUUGAGUUUGCGCUCGGGACACGGAGUCGGCGAGGUUACUUUGAGUAAAUUAGAGUGUUCAAAGCAGGCCUACGCUCUGAAUACAUUAGCAUGGAAUAACACGAUAGGACUCUGGCCUAUCUUGUUGGUCUGUAGGACCGGAGUAAUGAUUAAGAGGGACAGUCGGGGGCAUUCGUAUUUCAUUGUCAGAGGUGAAAUUCUUGGAUUUAUGAAAGACGAACUACUGCGAAAGCAUUUGCCAAGGAUGUUUUCAUUG
This 386-nucleotide ribosomal RNA is filed under the name Picochlorum sp. RNAcentral's name for it is "partial small subunit ribosomal RNA". It matches the Rfam family "Eukaryotic small subunit ribosomal RNA", at positions 582 to 975 of the family's 1831-position model. The record is from RNAcentral. Lineage: Eukaryota; Viridiplantae; Chlorophyta; Trebouxiophyceae.